UACUGUUUACUUCAUUGUUGUAU
Molecule: non-coding RNA, 23 nt
Filed under: Cricetulus griseus (Chinese hamster)
Lineage: Eukaryota; Metazoa; Chordata; Mammalia; Rodentia; Cricetidae
Source: RNAcentral